This 486-nucleotide ribosomal RNA is filed under the name uncultured bacterium. RNAcentral describes it as "partial 16S ribosomal RNA". It matches the Rfam family "Bacterial small subunit ribosomal RNA", at positions 27 to 507 of the family's 1533-position model. The record is from RNAcentral.
GGAUGAACGCUGGCGGCGUGCUUACCACAUGCAAGUCGAACGGGAUCCAAGGGGUGCUUGCACUUUUUGGUGAGAGUGGCGAACGGGUGAGUAACACGUGAGUAACCUGUCCUUUUCUUUGGGAUAAGCAUUCGAAAGGGUGUUUAAUACCUUAUGUUCUGUCUGCCUCGCAUGGGGUGGGUGGGAAAGGCUUUGGCCGGAUUUGGGUGGGCUCGCGGUCUAUCAGCUUGUUGGUGGGGUGAUGGCUUACCAAGGCUUUGACGGGUAGCCGGCCUGAGAGGGUGGUCGGUCACAUUGGGACUGAGAUACGGCCCAGACUCCUGCGGGAGGUAGCAGUGGGGGAUAUUGCACAAUGGGCGAAAGCCUGAUGCAGCGACGCCGCGUGGGGGAUGAAGGCCUUCGGGUUGUAAACUUCUUUUGCUCUGAACAAGGCAUGCCAGUGGGUGUGUUGAGUGUAGGGGUUGAUUAGCGCCGGCUAACUACGUG